RNAcentral lists this ribosomal RNA (468 nucleotides) under uncultured bacterium. RNAcentral describes it as "partial 16S ribosomal RNA". It matches the Rfam family "Bacterial small subunit ribosomal RNA", at positions 28 to 507 of the family's 1533-position model. The record is from RNAcentral.
GACGAACGCUGGCGGCGUGCUUAACACAUGCAAGUCGAACGGAAAGGCCCUGCUUUUGUGGGGUGCUCGAGUGGCGAACGGGUGAGUAACACGUGAGUAACCUGCCCUUGACUUUGGGAUAACUUCAGGAAACUGGGGCUAAUACCGGAUAGGAGCCCCUGCUGCAUGGAGGGGGUUGGAAAGUUUCGGCGGGUGGGGAUGGACUCGCGGCUUAUCAGCUUGCUGGUGGGGUAGUGGCUUACCAAGGCUUUGACGGGUAGCCGGCCUGAGAGGGUGACCGGCCACAUUGGGACUAAGAUACGGACCAGACUCCUACGGGAGGCAGCAGUGGGGAGUAUUGCACAAUGGGCGGAAGCCUGAUGCAGCAACGCCGCGUGCGGGAUGACGGCCUUCGGGUUGUAAACCGCUUUCGCCUGUGACGAAGCGUGAGUGACGGUAAUGGGUAAAGAAGCACCGGCUAACUACGUG